RNAcentral lists this long non-coding RNA (226 nucleotides) under Homo sapiens (human). Its description in RNAcentral is "long non-coding RNA NONHSAT104440.2". Lineage: Eukaryota; Metazoa; Chordata; Mammalia; Primates; Hominidae. The record is from RNAcentral.
AGCCAAGUCUGAAACCACUGACGGUACCAUGAGGGCUUUCAUUUUCUUUCUCUUCAUGCUCCUGGCCAUGUUCUCAGCAUCUUCAACCCAGAUUUCAAAUACCAGUGUUUUCAAACUAGAAGAGAAUCCAAAACCUGCACUUAUUCUGGAGGAAAAAAAUGAAGCUAACCAUCUAGGAGGACAAAGAGAUUCUAAUAAGCAAGGAGGUAGUUAUACACAAGGAAAU